Molecule: ribosomal RNA, 253 nt
Filed under: uncultured bacterium
Lineage: Bacteria
Description: partial 16S ribosomal RNA
Rfam family: Bacterial small subunit ribosomal RNA
Source: RNAcentral
UACGAAGGGGGCUAGCGUUGCUCGGAAUCACUGGGCGUAAAGGGUGCGUAGGCGGGCCUUUAAGUCAGGGGUGAAAUCCUGGAGCUCAACUCCAGAACUGCCUUUGAUACUGAGGAUCUUGAGUUCGGGAGAGGUGAGUGGAACUGCGAGUGUAGAGGUAAAAUUCGUAGAUAUUCGCAAGAACACCAGUGGCGAAGGCGGCUCACUGGCCCGAUACUGACGCUGAGGCACGAAAGCGUGGGGAGCAAACAGG